GACAAACGCUGGCGGCGUGCUUAACACAUGCAAGUCGAACGGUAAGGCCCUUCGGGGUACACGGGUGGCGAACGGGUGAGUAACACGUGGGUGAUCUGCCCUGCACUUCGGGAUAAGCCUGGGAAACUGGGUCUAAUACCGGAUAGGACCCUGGGAUGCAUGUCCUGGGGUGGAAAGCUUUUGCGGUGUGGGAUGGGCCCGCGGCCUAUCAGCUUGUUGGUGGGGUGAUGGCCUACCAAGGCGACGACGGGUAGGCGGCCUGAGAGGGUGACCGGCCACACUGGGACUGAGAUACGGCCCAGACUCCUACGGGAGGCAGCAGUGGGGAAUAUUGCACAAUGGGCGCAAGCCUGAUGCAGCGACGCCGCGUGAGGGAUGACGGCCUUCGGGUUGUAAACCUCUUUCAGCACCGACGAAGCGCAAGUGACGGUAGGUGCAGAAGAAGGACCGGCCAACUACGUGCCAGCCGCCGCCGUAA
RNAcentral lists this ribosomal RNA (478 nucleotides) under uncultured bacterium. RNAcentral's name for it is "partial 16S ribosomal RNA". It matches the Rfam family "Bacterial small subunit ribosomal RNA", at positions 28 to 523 of the family's 1533-position model. The record is from RNAcentral.